UAUAUUUCCACAGUGACCAACAAUCUAAUGGAAGAUCAGUGGUCCACCAUGCAAGAAGACUCUCUGGAAAGGAGCACAGGGAAUUCAAGAGAUAUUGCAGGCUAGAUGGCCGAAUAUACAGGAACAGGGUUGCACCUUGAUCCACUACCACAACAUUCCAAUUACCAGUCAGAAAGACAUGAGCAAUGUUCUCUUGGUGAAAGACCUCUACAAUGAAAACUAUAGAACAUUUAAGAAAUUGAAGACCUAAGAAAAUGGAAAGACCUUCCAUCUGUUCUUAGAUAGGCAGAUUUAAUACUGUAUAAAUGACCACAUUACCAAAAGAACCAUAAAGAUUGGAUAAAAUUCUCAUCAAAAUAUCA
Molecule: long non-coding RNA, 362 nt
Organism: Ictidomys tridecemlineatus (thirteen-lined ground squirrel)
Lineage: Eukaryota; Metazoa; Chordata; Mammalia; Rodentia; Sciuridae
Source: RefSeq, a predicted model, not a curated record